This 422-nucleotide ribosomal RNA is filed under the name uncultured eukaryote. RNAcentral describes it as "SSU rRNA". It matches the Rfam family "Eukaryotic small subunit ribosomal RNA", at positions 592 to 1018 of the family's 1831-position model. The record is from RNAcentral.
CAAUAGCGUAUAUUAAAGUUGUUGCGGUUAAAAAGCUCGUAGUUGGAUUUCUGCCGAGGACGACCGGUCCGCCCUCUGGGUGAGUAUCUGGUUCGGCCUGGGCAUCUUCUUGGAGAACGUAUCUGCACUUGACUGUGUGGUGCGGUAUCCAGGACUUUUACUUUGAGGAAAUUAGAGUGUUUCAAGCAGGCACACGCCUUGAAUACAUUAGCAUGGAAUAAUAAGAUAGGACCUUGGUUCUAUUUUGUUGGUUUCUAGAGCUGAGGUAAUGAUUAAUAGGGAUAGUUGGGGGCAUUCGUAUUUAACUGUCAGAGGUGAAAUUCUUGGAUUUGUUAAAGACUAACUUAUGCGAAAGCAUUUGCCAAGGAUGUUUUCAUUAAUCAAGAACGAAAGUUAGGGGAUCAAAGACGAUCAGAUACCAU